This is a long non-coding RNA of Thalassophryne amazonica, 3900 nucleotides long. RefSeq lists it as uncharacterized. The record is from RefSeq and is a predicted model, not a curated record. NCBI's taxonomy places the organism in Eukaryota, Metazoa, Chordata, Actinopteri, Batrachoidiformes, Batrachoididae. The transcript is spliced from 2 exons.
UGCUUGUUCAGGGAGAGAGAGAGCUGAACAAAGAAACAAACAAAAAAAAAAAACGCAUGCUGGCAGUGCAAGGCAUUCUGUGUCGAUUUUUCCUGUAUACGGUAGGGAGAAUCGCUGGGACAUAGUUCAUUAGACAGCAGCAACAGAACACCGUCGGGCUGCGUUGGAAAAACUUUUACACCAAGACCGAUUAGAACGAUCCACUUUCAGGAGUGAGAGCAAAAAAAGCUGCUCGGCGAAAAAAAGAGUCAAAUUUCAUGAGAACAGCUGAUCAAUCAAUAUUCUAGAUAAGCUAAGGCAGGGGUCUCCAACCCUGCUCCUACAGAGCACCUGCUCCUGUAUGGUUUCCAUGUCUACCUACUCUAGUCAUACCUGGUCAAUUAACAUUGGUGUUUCCCAGCUCUUGAUUGGCUGAGCAUACCUGACUGAGUUAAUUAGCUGCUGGUGGAGUAGAGACCGUUGAAAAACAUGGUGGACAGGUGCUCUCCAGGUGCAGGAGCCAAUUCAUCCUCAGACAUGGAGGAUUUGGUCACUCUCUUCUGAUGAUGUAUGUGGCAGCAUUAAUCCAACGGUAACCUGAAUUACAUCAGAAACACAAACUGAAACUAAACUUCAAACUGACCUCGCAUGAACCUGAUCAACAAUCUCAAGGAUUCCCGAAACCAAAGUUAAACCAAUCUGAAACUAACCCAUCGUUCACCGGAAACCACGAUAACCUUAUGCUUAAUUUUUGUGUCUGGCAGAUUAUCCAAAGAGAUUAAGAAGUGAAAUGAGCAUAAACCUGAAACCAACCUUUUCUUGGAAUCCGACAAGCUAAGGUGUCAGAUCAGGGAAUGCUUCAUCGCCUGCUGCCUUGCACUACAUUUCCCAGAGUGCUCUGCUGUUCUGCUCUCUGUCCUCAGUGUGAAGAGCCCAAAAAGCACAAAUUUCUUGAUGACUUGUAUUGGUUAUUUGUUUGAUGUCUGACCUCAGACACACUGGAUGUUUUUUUUUAGUGAACACUUGUUAAAAAAGAAGUCACUCUUCCAGAAUUUGCCUUUGUGACUAAAAACCAGCCUGGUCCCUAAAUACCAAUUACUGUAAAGACACAGUCCUAAAAUCUGGAGAUUUGGGAUUGUUGAUGGAUGCAAUAAAAAACCAUCAGGGAGUUUUUUUUGUUUUUUUUUUAGUCAACUUUUGGUGUGAUUCCAGUUUCUGCUUAAUAUUGUUAUCACCCAACCAGCAUUGGAAUUGGGUGGGUUUUGGGUUUAUCGUACAUAACAUGAUGAUAACUAUCAGAUAAGAUAGGCCUGGGAGCAUGUGUUGGUGUCACACAUCACCACAUCCAUCACGCUAUAGAACCACCUUGGCUUCUGGAUAGGGACCACCCAGACAGGCCAGCAGUCCAUCCCCACCCCUCUAAUGCACCCGUCUGUCCACUGCAGCCAGGUGAAAUGUGGGCGGGUCCUUGUCCCUCUCCAGCUGCAGGGGUUCUCAACACUGAGGCACCUGCGUGCUGGAUCAAAGUCAUUCCAGCAGUACCCAAAGAUCCUCUGAGGGGACCCAGGACCAAAGACAUCCAGUCGUCACCUUGUGUUACUGGUUAACAGUCUGUCUCCCAGCUACACAGUUUGGUGCAAGAUAUUGAGAAUGUUGGUGCAGUUUCAGGAUUGGACCGAUUUACUUUGGUCCCAAUGGGAUUAUAUCCGGUUGCUGCCAGGUCGUUGGGCUUGUGUGGAGUUGUUAGGUGGGCCAUUCAAUCUUUUUAAUCAUAGAAAUUCACCUCAGGUUCAGCUAACCUAAAAAUUAGUGAUUUCUUUUGGAUCAGGUACCACCUUUUGGAUCUAUGUUGAGCUCUACUCCUACAGACAACAGCUACCAAAUGUUCUAUUGGAUUUUGCCUCCUGUCACUGAAAGUGAGGCCCAAAACACACAGAUCAGAUGAAAUAAACCAGGAAACAUCUGCAAAACAUUUUAAGGACUAGUUUUGUGAACUUUGAUAAUGUGAUUUCCAUCACACACUGUUUGGGCCAAACCGGUGGAAGCAGCAAUGGCCCUUGUAUAGAUUUGAUCAUUUGGUGACUCAAACAACAAUACACAAGAUGUAAUUUUCUGUGUAAAUUUGUUGAGCUAUGGGGACAGCUUGCUAGAUUCAGAGUUAGCUUCACCCUUCAGUACCUACCCGAUUUAGUGAAAGAAAAAAAAACUGCUAGUGUUAAACUCUGGGGUACCAAAAUCACACCUUGAAAAGAGUGGAAAGAUGAGCAGAAACUAGUCACACUGAAAGUUUAACGGAAACAUUAAAGUCUAAUCUGCUGAAUGACGGUGAAACAACAAGCUGAUGAAUCAAAACUAUAUGAAUUUUGUAUUGGUCGGAUUUAAAGAUAGCAGUUGUGUGUGUGUGUGUAUAUGUUGUGUGGGGCUAACUAACUUAUUGUGUGUACAUAAAUCCUAUUUAUACCUAUUUAUCCAGCUGUGCCUUCACAUUUGCAGCUAGGUGGCGCUGUCUGGGCUGAGAGUAGCCUCGUUGGCCAUAGUUUCCAGGAUAUCAUGGAAAACUAUUUGUUUUAUUUUUUUCAGUUAUUUUAUCAAUGAGGGACAGAAGCACAGCCAACACAAACCCUGAUCAAUAUGUCCACAAAGAAUCAAUCGAUAAGUUAUUGUAAAUAAACUGAUCCAUUUUUGCACAGUGUCACUACUUCUAGCACAGAGAGUUAGCAUAUUUACAUGUUUGUAGGCUAAGGAAUAGCUACGCUAGAAUAAACAAUCUGCUAGCAUUACGGUAACACCAGCAGUUUGUAGUUGAAUGCUAGCAGGUUGUGGUAUUUUAUAUGGACUGUUUAUAAAUAGUGUGUUUGUAGCGAGCGAAUAUUAUGGUGCUGUGAAUGCUGUCUUUAAUUUGAUCUAAAACAAAAAUGUAAAAAUUAAAAUCUGUUGUUUGCUAACUUUUAACACUUACGAAAUCUCAAUGUGACAAGAACCAAAGCUGCAUCAUUCCUGCAUAUUGAAAUGUAAAAAAAAAAAAGAGGCUAGCUGGUAGGACCAUUUUGCCACUUGUUUGCACCUCAGCGGUACCUUAAAUUUACGCCAUUCCUAAAGUUUUUUUUUUAGCUUAAAUCCCCAGCUCUGUAUGCACUAUGACUUUGUUUAAACUUUUUGUUCAGACAGUUUCCUGUGUAUUGUCCUACAAACAGCAUAAAGGUUGUGUUACCUGUUUGUAUGCUAGCGUAACUGCUAGCAUUUCUGUCAUGAUGACACAUAGCAUUUUGUAGCUACCUGAUGUACCAUACAACAUACUAGCUUUGUCAUUUACUUCAACUUCUGAUUGUAUUUUUCUGACAUUUCUGUUAUUAUGCUACAGUUAGCAUCAUAAUAACAAAGUGCAUGCUAGCCCUUUUGUAGAUAAAGCAAACAUAAUGUUUAAAUGCCAUAACUAUAAAUGACUAGCAUGACGGAUGUACUGGGUCCUUUUUAAAAAAAACUUACUAUUCACAGUUUUAGUGAUGCUACAAAUACAGUAAUUCAGCAACAAGUGGGUAAAGUAGUCAAAUAUAAUUCACUGAGACAAUUACAGCUAGCAUAGCAGAUGCUAUGUGGGCUUUUUGUGGUUGUUGUUUAGAAAUUAAAAAAAAUUCCAGAUAGCUUUGUUUCGCUAACAUUGUUUUUCCGGUAAACCUUGUCAUAUACGAGACAAACCCCACAAAUGGAGAUUAUAGUUUUUUUUCUCCUUUUUUUCUGACUUGUGGUUUACCUUUUUAAUGUUUUAAUGUCAAAUGUCCCAUUUUAAUUAGUGUUGACACAAAUUAGACACAGUUGAUGUGAUCAAAUGACGUUUUUAUGAUUGGGUGAACAACUUCCUGCCUGCAGGCACCCAGAGUCCUCCGAUAAUGUGCAACCACACAGGUCGUUUGUUCAAACUCU